GGGGGGCAACCCCCAGUCGAGCGGCGAACGGGUGAGUAACGCGUGGAUGACCUGCCCUUCAGCGGGGAAUAACCCGGGGAAACUCGGGCUAAUACCGCAUACGACCGAGAGGUGAAAGGGGGCCGCAAGGCUCUCACUGAAGGAGGGGUCCGCGUUCGAUUAGCUAGUUGGUAGGGUAAUGGCCUACCAAGGCGACGAUCGAUAGCCGGCCUGAGAGGGUGAUCGGCCACACUGGAACUGAGACACGGUCCAGACUCCUACGGGAGGCAGCAGUGGGGAAUUUUGCGCAAUGGGCGGAAGCCUGACGCAGCAACGCCGCGUGGAGGAUGAAGGUCUUUGGAUUGUAAACUCCUGUCAGCAGGGAAAAAGGGACCCGACCUCAUACGUCGGGAACUUGAUUGUACCUGCAGAGGAAGCCCCGGCUAACUCUGUGCCAGCAGCCGCGGUAAUACAGAGGGGGCAAGCGUUAUUCGGAAUUAUUGGGCGUAAAGGGCGCGUAGGCGGCCAUUCAAGUGACGGGUGAAAGCCCUCGGCUUAACCGAGGAACUGCCUGUCAGACUGGAUGGCUUGAGACCGGGAGAGGUGAGUGGAAUUCCCAGUGUAGCGGUGAAAUGCGUAGAUAUUGGGAGGAACACCAGUGGCGAAGGCGGCUCACUGGACCGGAACUGACGCUGAGGCGCGAAAGCGUGGGGAGCAAACAGGAUUAGAUACCCUGGUAGUCCACGCCGUAAACGAUGAGUGCUUGGUGUAGCGGGUAUCGACCCCUGCUGUGCCGAAGUCAACACAUU
This 788-nucleotide ribosomal RNA is filed under the name uncultured Acidobacteriota bacterium. RNAcentral describes it as "bacterial SSU rRNA". It matches the Rfam family "Bacterial small subunit ribosomal RNA", at positions 74 to 861 of the family's 1533-position model. The record is from RNAcentral. Lineage: Bacteria; Pseudomonadati; Acidobacteriota.